ACUCCUACGGGAGGCAGCAGUGGGGAAUAUUGCACAAUGGGGGAAACCCUGAUGCAGCCAUGCCGCGUGGACGAUGAAGGCCUUAGGGUUGUAAAGUCCUUUCAGCUGGGAAGAUAAUGACGUUACCUACAGAAGAAGCACCGGCUAACUCCGUGCCAGCAGCCGCGGUAAUACGGAGGGUGCGAGCGUUAAUCGGAAUUACUGGGCGUAAAGCGCAUGCAGGUGGUUUGUUAAGUCAGAUGUGAAAGCCCGGGGCUCAACCUCGGAAUAGCAUUUGAAACUGGCAGACUAGAGUACUGUAGAGGGGGUAGAAUUUCAGGUGUAGCGGUGAAAUGCGUAGAGAUCUGAAGGAAUACCAGUGGCGAAGGCGGCCCCCUGGACAAAGACUGACGCUCAGAUGCGAAAGCGUGGGGAGCAAACAGGAUUAGAUACCCUGGUAGACUGUC
This 446-nucleotide ribosomal RNA is filed under the name uncultured bacterium. Its description in RNAcentral is "bacterial SSU rRNA". It matches the Rfam family "Bacterial small subunit ribosomal RNA", at positions 335 to 799 of the family's 1533-position model. The record is from RNAcentral.